RNAcentral lists this ribosomal RNA (265 nucleotides) under uncultured bacterium. RNAcentral's name for it is "partial 16S ribosomal RNA". It matches the Rfam family "Bacterial small subunit ribosomal RNA", at positions 335 to 617 of the family's 1533-position model. The record is from RNAcentral.
AUCCUACGGGGGGCAGCAGUGGGGGAUAUUGCACAAUGGGGGAAACCCUGAUGCAGCGACGCCGCGGGUAGGAAGACGGUCCUCUGGAUUGUAAACUACUGUCCCCAGGGGCGAAGAUGACGGUACCUGGGGAGGAAGCUCCGGCUAACUACGUGCCAGCAGCCGCGGUAAUACGUAGGGAGCGAGCGUUGUCCGGAAUUACUGGGUGUAAAGGGAGCGUAGGCGGGGGUGCAAGUGGGGGGUUGAAUCUACCGGCUCAACUGGU